Molecule: non-coding RNA, 68 nt
Organism: Potamilus streckersoni
Lineage: Eukaryota; Metazoa; Mollusca; Bivalvia; Unionida; Unionidae
Source: the annotation of a GenBank genome assembly
GAGGCCUAGUGGUUAGAGCGUCUGCCUCGAAUGCAGGAGAUCGUUGGUUCGAUCGCCCGGUCGUGUCA